Molecule: unclassified non-coding RNA, 315 nt
Filed under: uncultured Tomentella
Lineage: Eukaryota; Fungi; Basidiomycota; Agaricomycetes; Thelephorales; Thelephoraceae
Description: sequence contains 5.8S rRNA gene
Source: RNAcentral
GAACGCACCUUGCGCCCUUUGGCUAUUCUGAAGGGCAUGCCUGUUUGAGUAUCAUGAACAUCUCAACUCUCAUGGUCUGCCAUGAUGAGCUUGGACUUUGGGGGUCUUGCUGGCCUAGCGUCGGCUCCUCUCAAAUGGAUCAGCCUGCCAGUGUUUGGUGGCAUCACAGGUGUGAUAACUAUCUACGCUUGUGGUUCUCUGCCAUGUAACCUUCAGUGAUGGAGGUUCGCUGGAGGCUCACAGAUGUCUCUCCUUGAGGAGGACAGCUUUUUGAACGUUUGAUCUCAAAUCAGGUAGGACUACCCGCUGAACUUA